UGCCAAGUCUCCCCUGAGCUGCUGUUG
Molecule: non-coding RNA, 27 nt
Filed under: Rattus norvegicus (Norway rat)
Lineage: Eukaryota; Metazoa; Chordata; Mammalia; Rodentia; Muridae
Source: RNAcentral